RNAcentral lists this ribosomal RNA (509 nucleotides) under Serratia sp. R1R11A. RNAcentral describes it as "bacterial SSU rRNA". It matches the Rfam family "Bacterial small subunit ribosomal RNA", at positions 929 to 1437 of the family's 1533-position model. The record is from RNAcentral. Lineage: Bacteria; Pseudomonadati; Pseudomonadota; Gammaproteobacteria; Enterobacterales; Yersiniaceae.
GCGGUGGAGCAUGUGGUUUAAUUCGAUGCAACGCGAAGAACCUUACCUACUCUUGACAUCCAGAGAAUUCGCUAGAGAUAGCUUAGUGCCUUCGGGAACUCUGAGACAGGUGCUGCAUGGCUGUCGUCAGCUCGUGUUGUGAAAUGUUGGGUUAAGUCCCGCAACGAGCGCAACCCUUAUCCUUUGUUGCCAGCGCGUAAUGGUGGGAACUCAAAGGAGACUGCCGGUGAUAAACCGGAGGAAGGUGGGGAUGACGUCAAGUCAUCAUGGCCCUUACGAGUAGGGCUACACACGUGCUACAAUGGCGUAUACAAAGAGAAGCGAACUCGCGAGAGCAAGCGGACCUCAUAAAGUACGUCGUAGUCCGGAUCGGAGUCUGCAACUCGACUCCGUGAAGUCGGAAUCGCUAGUAAUCGUAGAUCAGAAUGCUACGGUGAAUACGUUCCCGGGCCUUGUACACACCGCCCGUCACACCAUGGGAGUGGGUUGCAAAAGAAGUAGGUAGCUUA